AAAUUGAAGAGUUUGAUCAUGGCUCAGAUUGAACGCUGGCGGCAGGCCUAACACAUGCAAGUCGAACGGUAACAGGAAGCAGCUUGCUGCUUUGCUGACGAGUGGCGGACGGGUGAGUAAUGUCUGGGAAACUGCCUGAUGGAGGGGGAUAACUACUGGAAACGGUGGCUAAUACCGCAUAAUGUCGCAAGACCAAAGAGGGGGACCUUCGGGCCUCUUGCCAUCAGAUGUGCCCAGAUGGGAUUAGCUUGUUGGUGAGGUAACGGCUCACCAAGGCGACGAUCCCUAGCUGGUCUGAGAGGAUGACCAGCCACACUGGAACUGAGACACGGUCCAGACUCCUACGGGAGGCAGCAGUGGGGAAUAUUGCACAAUGGGCGCAAGCCUGAUGCAGCCAUGCCGCGUGUAUGAAGAAGGCCUUCGGGUUGUAAAGUACUUUCAGCGGGGAGGAAGGUGUUGCGGUUAAUAACCGCAGCAAUUGACGUUACCCGCAGAAGAAGCACCGGCUAACUCCGUGCCAGCAGCCGCGGUAAUACGGAGGGUGCAAGCGUUAAUCGGAAUUACUGGGCGUAAAGCGCACGCAGGCGGUCUGUCAAGUCGGAUGUGAAAUCCCCGGGCUCAACCUGGGAACUGCAUUCGAAACUGGCAGGCUUGAGUCUUGUAGAGGGGGGUAGAAUUCCAGGUGUAGCGGUGAAAUGCGUAGAGAUCUGGAGGAAUACCGGUGGCGAAGGCGGCCCCCUGGACAAAGACUGACGCUCAGGUGCGAAAGCGUGGGGAGCAAACAGGAUUAGAUACCCUGGUAGUCCACGCCGUAAACGAUGUCUACUUGGAGGUUGUGCCCUUGAGGCGUGGCUUCCGGAGCUAACGCGUUAAGUAGACCGCCUGGGGAGUACGGCCGCAAGGUUAAAACUCAAAUGAAUUGACGGGGGCCCGCACAAGCGGUGGAGCAUGUGGUUUAAUUCGAUGCAACGCGAAGAACCUUACCUGGUCUUGACAUCCACAGAACUUUCCAGAGAUGGAU
RNAcentral lists this ribosomal RNA (1021 nucleotides) under Salmonella enterica subsp. enterica. RNAcentral's name for it is "bacterial SSU rRNA". It matches the Rfam family "Bacterial small subunit ribosomal RNA", at positions 1 to 1011 of the family's 1533-position model. The record is from RNAcentral. Lineage: Bacteria; Pseudomonadati; Pseudomonadota; Gammaproteobacteria; Enterobacterales; Enterobacteriaceae.